RNAcentral lists this ribosomal RNA (332 nucleotides) under unidentified low G+C gram-positive bacterium. RNAcentral describes it as "SSU rRNA". It matches the Rfam family "Bacterial small subunit ribosomal RNA", at positions 1166 to 1498 of the family's 1533-position model. The record is from RNAcentral. Lineage: Bacteria; Bacillati; Bacillota.
GAGGAAGGUGGGGAUGACGUCAAAUCAUCAUGCCCCUUAUGACCUGGGCCUCACACGUACUACAAUGGCUGUUAACAGAGGGAUGCAAAGCCGCGAGGUGGAGCGAACCCCUAAAAGCAGUCUUAGUUCGGAUUGUAGGCUGCAACCCGCCUACAUGAAGUCGGAAUUGCUAGUAAUCGCAGAUCAGCAUGCUGCGGUGAAUACGUUCCCGGGCCUUGUACACACCGCCCGUCACGCCAUGGGAGUCGGUAACACCGAAGCCUGUAGUCUAACCGCAAGGAGGACGCAGUCGAAGGUGGGAUUGAUGACUGGGGUGAAGUCGUAACAAGGUA